AUGGAGGGAGGUCCGUGGCUGUUUCGUAGAGCUCCGGUAAUUCUUCAGGAGUAUGAUGGCUUCUCGGAUGUCUAUGAAUAUAAGCUUAAUAUGUUAUCAGUUUGGGCGCGGGUUAAAGGCCUACCAGAUGGUCUGACAAGGAAGCGAGAGCUUGCUGAAAAAGUGGCGGCGAAGGUUGGCGAUCCCCCCUUCAAUGUGAUCGUCAACGAAGGUCGCAUCAAUCCAUCUAGUACCCUGCGUGCAAGGGAAAGGAAGAAAUACAGUGUCCUAUAUGAAAAACUGCCAGACUUUUGCUUUGCGUGUGGUCUUAUGGGGCAUCUUGCAGAAGAAUGUGGGGAUGGGGUGCAUGAUCCUAGAACCUUUGAAUGGGGGAGUGGCUGUUGUGGGAACCAGAGUUGCCAUCAGCUCAAACCUAUGGAGCAAGGGGGAGAGGUGAUGGUGGAGCUAGAGGAAGGAGUAGGGAGUCAGGUAGAAACGAAUGGGGAGGUAGAGGCUAGGGGAGAUCAGCGGGUGGCAGAGGCAGGGGAGAUGCAUCGGGUACUAGCUCACCAGCACCACAAUGUAUGGAUGUAG
This 573-nucleotide ribosomal RNA is filed under the name Triticum aestivum (bread wheat). RNAcentral's name for it is "partial small subunit ribosomal RNA". Lineage: Eukaryota; Viridiplantae; Streptophyta; Magnoliopsida; Poales; Poaceae. The record is from RNAcentral.